This is a non-coding RNA of Urocitellus parryii (Arctic ground squirrel), 66 nucleotides long. The record is from RefSeq and is a predicted model, not a curated record. NCBI's taxonomy places the organism in Eukaryota, Metazoa, Chordata, Mammalia, Rodentia, Sciuridae.
AAUCAAUGAUGAAAGAUAUUCUGAAGCCAAUUACUUGAAAGAAUAUACAUAUUUGGCUUCUGAGAU